RNAcentral lists this ribosomal RNA (499 nucleotides) under uncultured bacterium. RNAcentral describes it as "bacterial SSU rRNA". It matches the Rfam family "Bacterial small subunit ribosomal RNA", at positions 903 to 1397 of the family's 1533-position model. The record is from RNAcentral.
AAAUGAAUAGACGGGGGCCCGCACAAGCGGUGGAGCAUGUGGUUUAAUACGUCACUAACCGUAGAACCUUACCCAGGCUUGACAUCUGGGGAACCCCGGUGAAAGCCGGGGGUGCCGAGUAAUCGGAGCCCCAAGACAGGUGUUGCAUGCCUGUCGUCAGCUCGUGUCGUGAGAUGUUGGGUUAAGUCCCGCAACGAGCGCAACCCUCAUCCGAUGUUGCCAGCGUUAAGUCGGGAACUCUUCGGAAACUGCCCGUGCAAGCGGGAGGAAGGUGGGGACGACGUCAAGUCAGCAUGGCCCUUACGCCUGGGGCUACACACAUGCUACAAUGGGUGUUAAACAAAGGGCAGCAAUACCGCGAGGUGGAGCUAAUCUCAAAAACACACCCUCAGUUCGGAUUGCAGUCUGCAACUCGACUGCAUGAAGUCGGAAUCGCUAGUAACCGCAGGUCAGCUAAACUGCGGUGAAUACGUUCCCGGGCCUUGUACACACCGCCCGU